GCCCUAGUAACGGCGAGUGAAGCGGCAAAAGCUCAAAUUUGAAAUCUGGCACCUUUGGUGUCCGAAUUGUAAUUUGGAGAGGCAACUUCGGGUAGGACCCAGUCUAUGUUCCUUGGAACAGGACGUCAUAGAGGGUGAGAAUCCCGUUCAUGACUGGAUGUUCCUACUAGUACGUAGUGCCUUCUACGAGUCGAGUUGUUUGGGAAUGCAGCUCAAAAUGGGUGGUAAAUUUCAUCUAAAGCUAAAUAUUGGCGAGAGACCGAUAGCGCACAAGUAGAGUGAUCGAAAGAUGAAAAGCACUUUGAAAAUAGAGUCAAAAAGUACGUGAAAUUGUUGAAAGGGAAGCGCUUGAGACCAGACUCAGCCUUUGGUAAACAAGUGUCCUUCUGGGCAUUGCACUUGCCUCGGGUUGGGCCAGUAUCAGUUAGGAUGGUAGGAGAAAGGCCAGGAGAAUGUGACUCCAUUUUGGAGUGUUAUAGAUCCUGGUGUCAUGCUACCUGUCCUGACUGUGGACCGCGCAUUAGCUAGGAUACUGGCGUAAUGGUCUUCAGCGACCCGUCUUGAAACACGG
This 571-nucleotide ribosomal RNA is filed under the name Tuber melanosporum (Perigord truffle). RNAcentral's name for it is "eukaryotic LSU rRNA". It matches the Rfam family "Eukaryotic large subunit ribosomal RNA", at positions 77 to 664 of the family's 3401-position model. The record is from RNAcentral. Lineage: Eukaryota; Fungi; Ascomycota; Pezizomycetes; Pezizales; Tuberaceae.